GAUAACUGCUAAAAGACAUAUUUAUGAAAUUAUCUUUAUAAACGCGCUUUUAUUAAGUGCGUGAGACCAUGUCACUAAUGUAUAGCGUAUGCAUACCGUGUUUUCAAUUACCACAAACGUUUUUAUAACGGAAACACCCGGAGAAGCGCAAAAUGACUCAUCUAGCGUUUGUUCAGGAUUUUAGCUUUCUGCACUUAAAUCAAGGAAUAAAUUGCCUCUGGAAUUGAAUGUUAUUGAAUAAAAUCAUCGAGGAAUCGGUUUUGCCUAUUUUCUUGUGUAUAAGUCACGUCUAACGUUUGCUUGGUGAGAAUGGGUAUCCGACUUGCAACUAAACUUCGGAUAAAACUUCACUUUGCAGUAAAUUGAAAUUAUUCCUUCAUGUUCAGCAGAACAGAGAGGUCGGGUACAAAACAAAACAAGUAUAACCGUAGUAAGCAUGUUACCUUUAACGGUGGAUAUACCGGGCAUGAGGACAAUCCGUUUGGACGGACUUAAUGAUGUGAUACUGAUGUCAGACACAUCGCAUUGGUCAUGUUCCUACUAUUUAUAUCUCCUACAGAACAAAUAACAAUAAACUUGAAUGGAAUUUUACGUAAUAAGUAGUUUGAGAAGCAGUUACUAUUGGAACAUUUGCCGCCCUCAGGAUCUAUAUAAUGACGCAGAACAUUCAUAACCUUUAUGGAUAAUGUGAACAAUUCUUAUUCGGUUACAUGGAGUUAUGUACGUAAAAAUAACAUUCAAGUGCAGAUGUGUUAAAGACACUUCGCUACUUAAUAUCUAAGAAGUAGCUUUAUGUACCGCUUGUAUAUAAUAUAAUAUAUAUUUUUGCUGCCAAUACAUGUCGAUUGAAAUGCUGCCAAAUACUAAUGCCUGUUACCGAUUGAAAUGCUGCCAAAUACUAAUGCCUGUUACCUAAAACCUGUU
Mercenaria mercenaria is the source of this 924-nucleotide long non-coding RNA. RefSeq lists it as uncharacterized. Lineage: Eukaryota; Metazoa; Mollusca; Bivalvia; Venerida; Veneridae. The record is from RefSeq and is a predicted model, not a curated record. The transcript has 3 exons.